Molecule: transfer RNA, 84 nt
Filed under: Felis catus (domestic cat)
Lineage: Eukaryota; Metazoa; Chordata; Mammalia; Carnivora; Felidae
Also listed under: 2 other names
Rfam family: tRNA
About the family: Transfer RNA (tRNA) molecules are approximately 80 nucleotides in length. Their secondary structure includes four short double-helical elements and three loops (D, anti-codon, and T loops). Further hydrogen bonds mediate the characteristic L-shaped molecular structure. tRNAs have two regions of fundamental functional importance: the anti-codon, which is responsible for specific mRNA codon recognition, and the 3' end, to which the tRNAs corresponding amino acid is attached (by aminoacyl-tRNA synthetases). tRNAs cope with the degeneracy of the genetic code in two manners: having more than one tRNA (with a specific anti-codon) for a particular amino acid; and 'wobble' base-pairing, i.e. permitting non-standard base-pairing at the 3rd anti-codon position.
Source: Rfam by way of RNAcentral
GCCUGGGUGGCUCAGUGGUUGAGCAUCUGACUUCAGAUCAAGUCAUGAUCUCAUGGUACGUGAGUUCGAGCCCUGCAUCAGGCU